Molecule: ribosomal RNA, 826 nt
Filed under: uncultured bacterium
Lineage: Bacteria
Description: bacterial SSU rRNA
Rfam family: Bacterial small subunit ribosomal RNA
Source: RNAcentral
AGAGUUUGAUCCUGGCUCAGAUUGAACGCUGGCGGCAUGCCUUACACAUGCAAGUCGAACGGCAGCACGGGAGCAAUCCUGGUGGCGAGUGGCGAACGGGUGAGUAAUAUAUCGGAACGUGCCCAGUCGUGGGGGAUAACGUAGAGAAAUUUACGCUAAUACCGCAUACGAUCUAAGGAUGAAAGCGGGGGACCGUAAGGCCUCGCGCGAUUGGAGCGGCUGAUAUCAGAUUAGGUUGUUGGUGAGGUAAAAGCUCACCAAGCCGAUGAUCUGUAGCUGGUUUGAGAGAACGACCAGCCACACUGGGACCGAGACACGGCCCAGACUCCUACGGGAGGCAGCAGUGGGGAAUUUUGGACAAUGGGCGAAAGCCUGAUCCAGCAAUGCCGCGUGCAGGAAGAAGGCCUUCGGGUUGUAAACUGCUUUUGUACGGAACGAAAAGGUCUGCCCUAAUACGGCGGGCCCAUGACGGUACCGUAAGAAUAAGCACCGGCUAACUACGUGCCAGCAGCCGCGGUAAUACGUAGGGUGCGAGCGUUAAUCGGAAUUACUGGGCGUAAAGCGUGCGCAGGCGGUGAUGUAAGACAGUUGUGAAAUCCCCGGGCUCAACCUGGGAAUUGCAUCUGUGACUGCAUCGCUAGAGUACGGUAGAGGGGGAUGGAAUUCCGCGUGUAGCAGUGAAAUGCGUAGAUAUGCGGAGGAACACCGAUGGCGAAGGCAAUCCCCUGGACCUGUACUGACGCUCAUGCACGAAAGCGUGGGGAGCAAACAGGAUUAGAUACCCUGGUAGUCCACGCCCUAAACGAUGUCAACUGGUUGUUGGGUG